This 529-nucleotide ribosomal RNA is filed under the name uncultured bacterium. Its description in RNAcentral is "bacterial SSU rRNA". It matches the Rfam family "Bacterial small subunit ribosomal RNA", at positions 28 to 586 of the family's 1533-position model. The record is from RNAcentral.
GACGAACGCUGGCGGCGCGCCUUACGCAUGCAAGUCGCACGGACCUUCGGGUUAGUGGCGGACGGCUGAGUAACGCGUAGGUAACCUGUCCAGUAGUGGGGGACAACUCGCCGAAAGGCGAGCUAAUACCGCAUGUGAUCGGCCGGUGAAACCCGGCCGAGGAAAGCAGCAAUGCGCUACUGGAGGGGCCUGCGUCCUAUCAGGUAGUUGGUGGGGUAACGGCCUACCAAGCCUGUGACGGGUAGCUGGUCUGAGAGGACGACCAGCCAGAAGGGGACUGAGACACGGCCCCUACUCCUACGGGAGGCAGCAGCGAGGAAUCUUGGGCAAUGGGCGAAAGCCUGACCCAGCGACGCCGCGUGGAGGAUGAAGGCCUUCGGGUCGUAAACUCCUUUUGUGAGGGAAGAAGUUCUGACGGUACCUCACGAAUAAGCCACGGCUAACUACGUGCCAGCAGCCGCGGUAAUACGUAGGUGGCAAGCGUUGUCCGGAUUUACUGGGCGUAAAGGGCUUGUAGGCGGUUCGGUUG